GUGAAUUUUUCAACGGCCGCGGUACUCUGACCGUGCAAAGGUAGCAUAAUCAUUUGCCUUAUAAUUGAAGGCUUGUAUGAAUGGUUUGACAAGAAUAUAGCUGUCUCUUUAUAAUUAAAUAGAAUUUUAUUUAUAGGUGAAGAAGCCUAUAUAAUAUUGAAAGACAAGAAGACCCUAUCGAGCUUGAAAGAAAUUAAUAAAUUCUGUAUAUUUAAUAUAAUUUAAAAAAUUAAUUAUUAAAAAUUUUGGUUGGGGCGACUAAGGAACAAACAAAGCUUCCUUUAUUUUAGUAAUACAACCAAGUAAGGAUCCAAAAACUUUGAUUAAAGGAAUUAGUUACCGUAGGGAUAACAGCAUUAUCUUUUUUGAGAGCUCUAAUCGAAAAAAAGGUUUGUGACCUCGAUGUUGGACCAGAAUAUCCUGAAGAUGCAGCCGUCUUUAAGGGUUGGUCUGUUCGACCAUUAAAAUUCUACGUGAUCUGAGUUCAGACCGGCGUGAGCCAGGUCAGUUUCUAUCUUCAAUUUUUAUAAUAAGUUUAGUACGAAAGGACCAAUUUAUUACAACAUAUUUGUUAUAUUUAGAUGAAAUAUAAAGAAAAAUUAAAUAACUAAAUAUAAUCAAACUAGCAAAGAUAAUGCAAUUGACUUAGGAUCAAUAGACAUAGGUGAA
RNAcentral lists this ribosomal RNA (669 nucleotides) under Lamellitrophon traversi. RNAcentral describes it as "partial 16S ribosomal RNA". The stretch from base 1 to 543 matches the Rfam family "Bacterial large subunit ribosomal RNA", at positions 1912 to 2925 of the family's 2925-position model. Lineage: Eukaryota; Metazoa; Mollusca; Gastropoda; Neogastropoda; Muricidae. The record is from RNAcentral.